Molecule: long non-coding RNA, 1130 nt
Organism: Scatophagus argus
Lineage: Eukaryota; Metazoa; Chordata; Actinopteri; Scatophagidae
Exons: 4
Source: RefSeq, a predicted model, not a curated record
AGGGCUCCUCCCCUUCCUGUCAGCAUCCAAUCAGAAGGAUGAAACACAGUGAGCCGUGACGACCUUCAGCCUGGUGGAAUAACACAAUUUAAACUGAAUAAAGACAUUACCUGUCCCUUCCACAGAGACAGGAUAUUGUCAGAGACGUGGACGACGAUCGGCUCCCACUCGUCUCUGUCUGUAGAGUUCAUGAUGCUUUCGAUUGCUCGGUUCAGCACCUCCAUACCUGCACAAACACACCAACACGGACGACCUUCAGCACGGAGGUUACCGAUGUACUGGACCUGGAACUUCUGGACCUGCUGCCGCACCGCUUCCAGAAACUCCACUGAAACCCAACAAACAGAAGGAAUCAGCAGAGAGCCAAUCAGAGAGCAGCAGGUGAUGAUGUCAGAGAACACGGGAGUCACCUUGUCUUGGCAGGUCUUCAGGUGAGAUGCUCUCCAUCGUCAGAGAGCGAGACGGCCUCAUCAGCGUCUUCUCAGACAACAUCUGCAGACACAGAGACAUUCAGACCCGUGCUGAUCUACGUGAGGGGCUACAGGAUCUGUCCGUCCAUUUUCUUCCACUCGUCCGGGGUCAGGUCGUGGUGACAGCAAUGCUCCUGCUGAGGGAUCCAGAGGUGCUCUCAAGCCAACAUGUAAUCACAUCAGCCUCAGCUGUGUCUUGUGUUUACUGCCAGUUAGCUAAUGUUAGCGUGCUAACUGGUGAAACUAAGAUGGAGAACCCGAGAGCAUCUGAGCGGCGGACUCACUCACCUUGGAGCACAUCUCAUGCAGCGCUGUGGCGAUGGCUUUGGCCGGAGCGUUGCAGCGAAACACGUGACACUUCAGCACACAGCUGUCCUUAUCACCUGCUACGAAGGCAAAGUCCCUGAAGGCACCACACACACAGAGGACAGAUCAUGUUGCUGUGACCAACCAGCUGAUGGACUGAUGAUCAUGUGACUGGGAGGCCGUUGCUCUGUCUCUUUGUUGGAGCUCUGCUGUCCAGCCUCCUCCUGCUGAGAUUCAACACCACAGAAGAAGAAGAUGCAUCAGACAAACCUGAGCUAAUAUGAGCUAACUCGGCUACACUGGACUCACUGGGUUAAUCUGGACUAACUGAUUAAAGAGGGUCUAACCUGUGUG